UUUUUGGAGAGUUUGAUCCUGGCUCAGGACGAACGCUGGCGGCGUGCUUAACACAUGCAAGUCGUACGAACAGAGAAGAGCUUGCUCUUCAAUGUGAGUGGCGAACGGGUGCGUAACACGUGAGCAACUUGCCUUCUGGUGGGGGAUAGCCGGCCCAACGGCCGGGUAAUACCGCGUACAGCAUCGAGAUCGCAUGGUCAUGAUGUGAAAGCGGCCGCAAGGUCGCGCCGGAAGAGGGGCUCGCGACGUAUCAGCUUGUUGGUGGGGUAACGGCCUACCAAGGCUACGACGCGUAGCUGGUCUGAGAGGAUGAUCAGCCACAUUGGGACUGAGAUACGGCCCAGACUCCUAC
This 352-nucleotide ribosomal RNA is filed under the name Gemmatimonadota bacterium. RNAcentral describes it as "bacterial SSU rRNA". It matches the Rfam family "Bacterial small subunit ribosomal RNA", at positions 1 to 342 of the family's 1533-position model. The record is from RNAcentral. Lineage: Bacteria; Pseudomonadati; Gemmatimonadota.